RNAcentral lists this unclassified non-coding RNA (540 nucleotides) under Sporothrix schenckii. RNAcentral's name for it is "sequence contains 18S rRNA gene, ITS1, 5.8S rRNA gene, ITS2, 28S rRNA gene". The stretch from base 177 to 330 matches the Rfam family "5.8S ribosomal RNA". Lineage: Eukaryota; Fungi; Ascomycota; Sordariomycetes; Ophiostomatales; Ophiostomataceae. The record is from RNAcentral.
AGUCGUAACAAGGUCUCCGUUGGUGAACCAGCGGAGGGAUCAUUACAGAGUUUUCACAACUCCCAACCCUUGCGAACCGUACCCAAUCUCGUUCUCGUUGCUUCUGGCGGGGGGCCCUACGAACCUUUGUAUCUCAACCACUAGAAAACCGUCUGAGGAAAAAACAAAAUAAUCAAAACUUUCAACAACGGAUCUCUUGGCUCUGGCAUCGAUGAAGAACGCAGCGAAAUGCGAUACGUAAUGUGAAUUGCAGAAUUCAGCGAACCAUCGAAUCUUUGAACGCACAUUGCGCCCGCCAGCAUUCUGGCGGGCAUGCCUGUCCGAGCGUCAUUUCCCCCCCUCACGCGCCCCGUUGCGCGCUGGUGUUGGGGCGCCCUCCGCCUGGCGGGGGGCCCCCGAAAGCGAGUGGCGGGCCCUGUGGAUGGCUCCGAGCGCAGUACCGAACGCAUGUUCUCCCCUCGCUCCGGACGCCCCCCAGGCGCCCUGCCGUGAAAACGCGCAUGACGCGCAGCUCUUUUUACAAGGUUGACCUCGGAUCAG